Molecule: ribosomal RNA, 480 nt
Filed under: uncultured bacterium
Lineage: Bacteria
Description: partial 16S ribosomal RNA
Rfam family: Bacterial small subunit ribosomal RNA
Source: RNAcentral
GACGAACGCUGGCGGCGUGCUUAACACAUGCAAGUCGAACGAUGAAGAAAAGAAUUGAAGCUUCGGCAAAAAUUCAUUUCGGAUUAGUGGCAGACGGGUGAGUAACGCGUGAGCAACCUACCUCUUACAAAGGGAUAGCCUCGGGAAACCGGGAUUAAUACCAUAUAACAUUGCGACGAAGCAUUUCGAUGCAAUCAAAGCUACGGCGGUAAGAGAUGGGCUCGCGUCCCAUUAACCAGAUGGUGAGGUAACGGCUCACCAUAGUAACGAUGGGUAACCGGCCUGAGAGGGUGAACGGUCACACUGGAACUGAGACACGGUCCAGACUCCUACGGGAGGCAGCAGUGGGGAAUAUUGCACAAUGGAGGGAACUCUGAUGCAGCGACGCCGCGUGAGUGAUGAAGGAAUUCGUUUCGUAAAACUCUGUUCUAUGGGAAGAAAAGGACUGUACCAUAGGAGAAAGCUCCGGCUAAAUACGUG